This 521-nucleotide ribosomal RNA is filed under the name Yersinia enterocolitica. RNAcentral describes it as "bacterial SSU rRNA". It matches the Rfam family "Bacterial small subunit ribosomal RNA", at positions 30 to 538 of the family's 1533-position model. Lineage: Bacteria; Pseudomonadati; Pseudomonadota; Gammaproteobacteria; Enterobacterales; Yersiniaceae. The record is from RNAcentral.
AUUGAACGCUGGCGGCAGGUGCAACACAUGCAAGGCGAGCGGCAGCGGGAAGUAGUUUACUACUUUGCCGGCGAGCGGCGGACGGGUGAGUAAUGUCUGGGAAACUGCCUGAUGGAGGGGGAUAACUACUGGAAACGGUAGCUAAUACCGCAUAACGUCUUCGGACCAAAGUGGGGGACCUUAGGGCCUCACGCCAUCGGAUGUGCCCAGAUGGGAUUAGCUAGUAGGUGGGGUAAUGGCUCACCUAGGCGACGAUCCCUAGCUGGUCUGAGAGGAUGACCAGCCACACUGGAACUGAGACACGGUCCAGACUCCUACGGGAGGCAGCAUUGGGGAAUAUUGCACAAUGGGCGCAAGCCUGAUGCAGCCAUGCCGCGUGUGUGAAGAAGGCCUUCGGGUUGUAAAGCACUUUCAGCGAGGAGGAAGGCCAAUAACUUAAUACGUUGUUGGAUUGACGUUACUCGCAGAAGAAGCACCGGCUAACUCCGUGCCAGCAGCCGCGGUAAUACGGAGGGUGCAAG